UACGAAGGGUGCUAGCGUUGUUCGGAAUCACUGGGCGUAAAGCGCGCGUAGGCGGCUUAUCAAGUCGGGGGUGAAAUCCCGAGGCUUAACCUCAGAAUUGCCUUCGAAACUGAUAGGCUUGAGUGUCGGAGGGGAUAGCGGAAUUGCUAAUGUAGAGGUGAAAUUCGUAGAUAUUAGCAGGAACACCGGUGGCGAAGGCGGCUAUCUGGACGACAACUGACGCUGAGGCGCGAAAGCGUGGGGAUCAAACAGG
RNAcentral lists this ribosomal RNA (253 nucleotides) under uncultured bacterium. RNAcentral describes it as "partial 16S ribosomal RNA". It matches the Rfam family "Bacterial small subunit ribosomal RNA", at positions 524 to 776 of the family's 1533-position model. The record is from RNAcentral.